CCGCCAGCUCCUGUGAUGAUUAAAGCACAGCCCUGGGUAGAAGUCAGUGCUUUGUCUCCUCCAGACACGGUUUACUUCUCCUGUUCUUGGAAUGCACCGCUAUUUCCUUUUGAUUUCCUCCCUCCUGCACAGAGAGCUGACGCUGCCCCUUUGUUUACAGCCGUAGCCCUGAGGGAGUGCCACGACUUCAUAGAAGGCGUUUUUCCCAAUCUUCUCAUCUGUUCUGCCUCCAGCUCUCCCGGGCUCUGUGGCAGCGCUCAGGUUCCCUGACACACCGCCCGCCUCACGGCAGGGGGCUGCUUAGCGCCCGAGGUGAGCGGGGACUUCCCCGCCGCCUUCCCGAGAGGGGCAGCGCGGGCGCCGGCACCCCUCCCGCCCUUCAGACUGUGCGCAUCAGCCAGGCCUGUUUACGCUCGCGACCGGGCCGCCUGUCGCUAGCCCUUGGGUGGCGGCCAGGGCCCGCCGCUUUCCCGGAAGCGCCCGCUCGGUGGUUUCUUUGGUUCAGUAGCACCGGUGUGACCAGAACGUGGUCAGGCCAUUAGCAGCAACUCCAGGAACGACCACUCAGGGAUGAAGCAGAGGCUUCCCAAAGCGCCGGCUGCCCGCAGGAGGGAGAGGAGGGAAGGACCUGUCCUAUCUGAUUGGAGCCGGUAAGCUCAGACCUUCACAGACCAGAGCAAGGACUUCAGGAACCUCAGCUCCGUAACAAUGAGACUCGUCCACGUGAUCCUCGCCGCUCUCCUUGCCGUCUUCCAGGUACUGCCCGAUGGCACUAGGGCACUCAAUUUUGAAAGACCCUGCUAUCUUCGGGGUGGAAUCUGCCUGAAGCAAGGCGCGCCAAACUGUGAGCCCUUCAGAGGACCCUGCCGAGCGUUCACCGUCUGCUGCAGAAUUAAGGGGAGCUGAUGGAAGCCCAGCUUGGGGGGAAUCCUGGCAAGAGAGCUGGAGCAUGGCCCCUCUUGUGCAAAUAAAAGCGAACAGUUGUCAAGUCUGCACAGUCAGUUACUUUA
This is a long non-coding RNA of Vicugna pacos (alpaca), 1010 nucleotides long. RefSeq lists it as uncharacterized. Lineage: Eukaryota; Metazoa; Chordata; Mammalia; Artiodactyla; Camelidae. The record is from RefSeq and is a predicted model, not a curated record.